RNAcentral lists this ribosomal RNA (450 nucleotides) under uncultured bacterium. Its description in RNAcentral is "partial 16S ribosomal RNA". It matches the Rfam family "Bacterial small subunit ribosomal RNA", at positions 354 to 796 of the family's 1533-position model. The record is from RNAcentral.
GUGGGGAAUAUUGGACAAUGGGCGAAAGCCUGAUCCAGCCAUGCCGCGUGUGUGAAGAAGGUCUUCGGAUUGUAAAGCACUUUAAGUUGGGAGGAAGGGCAGUAAGUUAAUACCUUGCUGUUUUGACGUUACCGACAGAAUAAGCACCGGCUAACUUCGUGCCAGCAGCCGCGGUAAUACGAAGGGUGCAAGCGUUAAUCGGAAUUACUGGGCGUAAAGCGCGCGUAGGUGGUUUUGUAAGUUGGAGGUGAAAUCCCCGGGCUCAACCUGGGAACUGCCUCCAAAACUGCAUGACUAGAGUACGGUAGAGGGUAGUGGAAUUUCCUGUUUAGCGGUGAAAUGCGUAGAUAUAGGAAGGAACACCAGUGGCGAAGGCGACUACCUGGACUGAUACUGACACUGAGGUGCGAAAGCGUGGGGAGCAAACAGGAUUAGAUACCCGUGUAGUCC